Molecule: long non-coding RNA, 91 nt
Organism: Xenia sp. Carnegie-2017
Lineage: Eukaryota; Metazoa; Cnidaria; Anthozoa; Malacalcyonacea; Xeniidae
Exons: 2
Source: RefSeq, a predicted model, not a curated record
AGAACGAGAACAGUCUUAACACUACAUAAAAUAUAAACUAAGAUAACAUAACAUGUUUCAGUGUAGGUAGUGACGAAUGAACAAUAGAGAA